Molecule: ribosomal RNA, 491 nt
Filed under: uncultured bacterium
Lineage: Bacteria
Description: partial 16S ribosomal RNA
Rfam family: Bacterial small subunit ribosomal RNA
Source: RNAcentral
GUGCACGCUGGCGGUAGGCCUAACACAUGCCAGUCGAACGGCAGCACAGUAAGAGCUUGCUCUUACGGGUGGCGAGUGGCGGACGGGUGAGGAAUACAUCGGAAUCUACUUUUUCGUGGGGGAUAACGUAGGGAAACUUACGCUAAUACCGCAUACGACCUACGGGUGAAAGCAGGGGAUCUUCGGACCUUGCGCGAUUGAAUGAGCCGAUGUCGGAUUAGCUAGUUGGCGGGGUAAAGGCCCACCAAGGCGACGAUCCGUAGCUGGUCUGAGAGGAUGAUCAGCCACACUGGAACUGAGACACGGUCCAGACUCCUACGGGAGGCAGCAGUGGGGAAUAUUGGACAAUGGGCGCAAGCCUGAUCCAGCCAUGCCGCGUGGGUGAAGAAGGCCUUCGGGUUGUAAAGCCCUUUUGUUGGGAAAGAAAAGCAGCAGGUUAAUACCCCGCUGUUCUGACGGUACCCAAAGAAUAAGCACCGGCUAACUUCGUG